GGUUAAGCGACUAAGCGUACACGGUGGAUGCCCUGGCAGUCAGAGGCGAUGAAGGGCGUGCUAAUCUGCGAUAAGCGCCGGUAAGGUGAUAUGAACCGUUAUAACCGGCGAUACCCGAAUGGGGAAACCCAGUGUGAUUCGUCACACUAUCAUUAACUGAAUCCAUAGGUUAAUGAGGCGAACCGGGGGAACUGAAACAUCUAAGUACCCCGAGGAAAAGAAAUCAACCGAGAUUCCCCCAGUAGCGGCGAGCGAACGGGGAGGAGCCCAGAGCCUGAAUCAGCAUGUGUGUUAGUGGAAGCGU
This 304-nucleotide ribosomal RNA is filed under the name Salmonella enterica subsp. enterica serovar Meleagridis. Its description in RNAcentral is "partial 23S ribosomal RNA". It matches the Rfam family "Bacterial large subunit ribosomal RNA", at positions 1 to 310 of the family's 2925-position model. Lineage: Bacteria; Pseudomonadati; Pseudomonadota; Gammaproteobacteria; Enterobacterales; Enterobacteriaceae. The record is from RNAcentral.